RNAcentral lists this long non-coding RNA (1007 nucleotides) under Brassica napus (rape). RNAcentral describes it as "long non-coding RNA (BNAP_LNC015656)". Lineage: Eukaryota; Viridiplantae; Streptophyta; Magnoliopsida; Brassicales; Brassicaceae. The record is from RNAcentral.
CGGAAGUUAAAUAACUGUUUAUUAACUUUUAACUAAAAAACUAAGAACUAGAGACUACAACCAACUUAGCACAAGCACUUGCCACAAAAUUGGAGCCAUAGUGAAACCGAGAACUGAACCCGGUAGAUUUGGCAGUACCCGAUGAUCAGUUCUUAAAGAUUGACUCCUCAAGAACAGCUCGUAAAAGACCUCUUUAGCUGCAGCCACCAUGGACAGAGAGCAGUACCUGAGCAAGCACACUCGCAUAGACAGUAGACAAGCUUUAUUUUGGAGAGAAGGACCACCAGAGACGCCACGAACACCACCGAACCUGCAAUGGAGAGCCAGAACCAAGCUAGCACCUCUUUGAGUCAAAAACAGUCAGGAGCAGGCCCUAGAUCCAGCCCUGAAACUAGCCGGAAACAACACGCGCUGCCACAGGAGAAGAAGAAUCAUUGUCAUUGUUGACAAGACCGACGAUGUUCACCCCCACACGCGCCUGCGGUGGAGAACCCGCAACAGGUCAAACCACACAGACCCGAUAGCUCUCAGAUGAGACCUUCAGGAACCGCGUUGCAGAUCUAAACAAGCACGCCAUUGGACCCCAACAGCGGCACGGACCAAGCAAGGCGGUACCUUCCCCGAGAAGGAGGAGACGAGGUGACGAGGAAACUAAAGAACCCACUUCCGUAAACUAGAUCUGACACCAGAUCUAAGCUUUCGCCGCCGCACUCCGCCAAGGAAUCACUAACCACCAUCUCACCGCCUAGCUUCGCCGCUCAUCCAAGCCUAGAACACCAGAUCGAACCCGCGGUGGUGAAAGCUUCAGAAGAAAACAACAAAGAAGCAACGAAGAUGAGAGAGAUGAGCGACGAGAGAAGAAAGGCAGCAAAAGAGAGGGAGGUGACCGACGGCAAGCGGAGAAAACCGCCGGCCACCAAAGCUUAUCUCUUAUAGAUGUGUUCUUUGAGAGAGAAAGCAGAUCUGGUUUUAGAGAGAUGAGUUCUAUAGCCACGAGAGUUGGUCUU